CUUGAUUCCCCUGAUUACCUGCCGGAAGAAAAACACAGCAUGAGCCAAAUGCCCAGUACGGAUAUAGAAUACAACUAAUGAACCGAAAUAACUAACUCAAUUAAAUGAAAUGAAACGAACGAACUGAAACGAAACGAACAAAACUAACACAACGAAAUAAUAGGCUGAAUCAGAUGGCUGGGUGUUAUUUCAUACCGAGCUCAGAAUAAAUAGUAAUAUACCUUGCCACACAGGCAAGUCAAAUAAUGCCACACAGGCAAUCACACAUCGGACUGCGCAAUCCAGAUGCGUGCAAAAUCGGAAGGCGUGUUUGGCACAAACAUCACCAAUCCGCAGAACAGAACAGAACAGAAACUAGGGUCGACCCAUACGCCUCCCACAACAAAAUACCAAAUGGCCAACUCCCACAGGAGCACAAAACAGAGACGUCGUGGGCUGAUCACACCGCCACGGAAGGUGUCAUGCCUCGGUGCCAAGAGGACAUGCCUGUGGUACCCCCACAGGUGGUUAUAGCUCAGGUAUACCCUACGGUAUUCUAACAAAAUAUAAUGUCACAACACAUGCGACAAAAUAUCAACACAAAGGGGUUCUAACAUGUACAUGUUAAAUCGAACGAAUCGUCAACACAAGUCUAUUUUUGAAAAAUAUUUUGCCCCAUGAAGUUGGUCAAACAAGUCCUCAAUCCUCGGCAAUGGAUACCGAUUUCUGAUGGUAAUCUUGUUCAACUCUCUGUAGUCUAUACACAGCCUCAUAGACCCAUCCUUCUUCUUCACAAACAAGACUGGAGCACCCCACGAUGAAAUACUCGGGCGAAUUACACCACGAUCCAACAGUUCUUGCAACUGUUCCUUCAACUCCUGCAACUCCAAUGGUGCCAUCCGAUACGGCACCUUAGAAAUAGGCUCCACACUAGGAAUAAGCUCAAUAGCAAACUCUACUUUCCGCUGUGGUGGCAACCCUGACAACUCCUCAGGAAACACAUCUGAAAAGUCACAAACAAUUGGAACAUCCUCAAUAUGAGACUCACCCUUAGAGGUAUCCUUCACAAACGCCAAAUACCCCUCACAACCCUUUGCUACCAACUUGCCAGCCUUCAAAGUUGAAAUCAACUUCAACACCCUACUCGGUUGUGAACCCUGAAACACGAACUCCGGAGACUUCACAUCUCCAAAUAUAACCUUCUUCGCCUGACAAUCGAUAGUGGCACGGUGCUUAUCCAACCAGUCCAUCCCAAGAAUGAUAUCGAAAUCGUGCAUACACAUCGGAAGGAGAUUAACCCUACGAAUCUUAUCCCUAAAACUGAUCGAACACCCUCGAUAUAAAUCAGAAAUAACAACUGAAGUCCCCAUCGGGGUAGCAAUAGACAUAACAGAAUCCAAAGAUUGAGAUGGCACACCUAGGUGCCGAAUAAAAGACUGAGCAACAACAGAAUGAGUAGAACCCGUAUCAAACAAAAUAGACGCCUCAUGAUUUCCAACUAAAAGAGUACCAAAAAUAGUACCUGGUUCACCUGCCGCCUGGUUAUACGUCAAGGCAAACACUCGACCACCCUGACGCUGACCUCCAUUGCCACCAUUAUCACCACCUCCACCAUUUCUGCGUGGACCGGUACAAUCCCUAGCAAUGUGACCCAUCUGUCCACACAAGAAGCAUGCACCGGUGAGUCUGUGGCACUGCCUCCCCGGAUGAUUAGCCCCACAAGUAACACAAGGAGCUAUCGGAAUAAGAUUCGGGUUACCCCCACCAGCUGGUCCUGGGUAACGACCCUGAUUUUGCCCCUGCGGACGAUUCUGUCCCUGCUGACGAUUUUGUCCAUACCAAGGUAACUGAAGCUGACGAUUCUGCCCUUGUUGAGGCAUCUGCUGAUAACCCAUGUUCUGAUUUUGACCACGCCACUGCCCCUGCUGAAUACCCCGAUUUCUGUUCCACUGACCACCUUGAUUUCUCCCAUGCUGACACGAAGCUUGACCCUGCUGGUCAUCUCUGUCCCUCUUUCGACUCCCUUCCGGUUUGGAAGUCCGAAAGUCCUGCCGCUCCAUCUCAAUGUUCUUGGCCGCAUUAGCCACCAUCGAUACAUCCGCAAACUUGGUGUUAAUGAGAUGUUGGCGAUACCUAUAAUGAAUCUGCCACUUGAACUUCUCCACCCGCAAAACCUGUCAACCUGGUGAACCUGGUCAUGAAAUCGGUAAUGGACUCAUCAUCCUUCUGCCGAAUGGAUAGAUACUCUCUAGCAUAGGCCUCUUUAUCAGCAGCUGGAAAGUACUGCUGAUAAAAGACCUCACAAAACUCUGCCCAAUGAAGUGUCUCCACGUAGCCAUCACCCUUUGUUGUCUUCAGUGCUUUCCACCACCUCUGUGCAUCCCCCUCUAGCUUGUAAGCAGCAAGUAACACUCAUUGAUUAUCUGAGCAUCCCAACACAUCAAAAAUCUUCUCUAGGUGAGCAAUCCAAUUUUCCACAUCAAUUGGAGUUAGAGCAGAACUGAAAGACUGUGGCUUCUGCUUCUGAAACCUCUCCAACCACACAUACAUUGGGACCACCUGCUGAUCAAGGCCAUCCACAUUUCCUUCCUCUUCGUUUGUUUGUGGACCAUUAUUUCCCGAGUGCCCCUGCUCGGGAAUUUCUGGCGGCUGUUUCAUUGCCUGUACAACCUGUGCCACUAACUACGGUAAAGCCUGAUUAACCGCCUGAUUCACCAAGUUAACUAGUUGAGCAUUUAUCUGAUCAUUAGGUUGCUCAUUGGGUUGAACAUCACCCCUUCCCCUAUUAUUACCUCUCCUCCCAGUAACUCUAGUGGAUCGACGAGUCAUCUAAGAAAGAGAUCAAUGAAUAUAAACAGAACAGAUUAAAACAGAUUCAAAUAUAGCUGAACAAAAAAUCAAACUGAACAAAAACCUAACCCAGAAGUCUACCCAUAACUCACAAGUCAAACCUAAAUAGGUUUUCUACAAGAAAGAACCUGGCUCUGAUACCAACUCUGUAACACCCCCUUUCCGAAAUAGAAAGAGAGGUUACUCAAAACAUAACAAAACUGAUGAAUUUAAUAGCAAGGCUCAAAGCCACAAAAGAAUAGUCUUAAUAACUGAUAAAUACCACAAGUCAACCAUAAUAAAUCUCAAACUGUCUCAAACCACAAUCUAAAAUAAUUAUUACAAUUCCAAGUAAACUGACACAUCAAGUCUAAACAGAAUAUUUCUAAAUCAUUGGAAUGAAUGGAGCUCUCAUCACACUUGCCCUUGAUCCCCCUGAUUACCUGCCGGAAGAAAAACACAGCAUGAGCCAAAUGCCCAGUACGGAUAUAGAAUACAAAUAAUGAACCGAAAUAACUAACUCAAUUAAAUGAAAUGAAACGAAACGAACUGAAACGAAACGAACAAAACUAACACAACGAAAUAAUAGGCUGAAUCAAAUGGCUGGGUGUUAUUUCAUACCGAGCUCAGAAUAAAACAGAAAUAUACCUUGCCACACAGGCAAGUCAAAUAAUGUCACAUAGGCAAAUCAAAUAAUGCCACACAGGCAAGUCACACACAUUGGACCGCGAAUCCAAUGCAUGUAAAAUCGGAAGGUGUGUUUGGCACAAACAUCACCAAUCCGCAGAACAGAACAGAACAGAAAACUAGGGUCGACCCAUACGCCUCCCACAACAAAACACCAAAUGGCCAACUCCCACCGGAGCACAAAACGGAGACGCCGUGGACUGAUCACACCGCCACGGAAGGUGUCAUGCCUCGGUGCCAAGAGGACAUGCCUGUGGUACCCCCACAGGUGGUUAUAGCUCAGGUAUACCCUACGGUAUUCUAACAA
RNAcentral lists this long non-coding RNA (3802 nucleotides) under Panax ginseng (ginseng). RNAcentral describes it as "long non-coding RNA (PGIN_LNC009134)". Lineage: Eukaryota; Viridiplantae; Streptophyta; Magnoliopsida; Apiales; Araliaceae. The record is from RNAcentral.